UACGUAGGGUGCGAGCGUUAAUCGGAAUCAUUGGGCGUAAAGCGCACGUAGGCGGCCCAGCAAGCGGGGAGUGAAAGCCCUCGGCUUAACCGAGGAAGUGCUUUCCGAACUACUGGGCUUGAAUACUGGAGAGGGUCGCGGAAUUCCCGGUGUAGAGGUGAAAUUCGUAGAUAUCGGGAGGAACACCAGUGGCGAAGGCGGCGACCUGGACAGAUAUUGACGCUGAGGUGCGAAAGCGUGGGGAGCAAACAGG
This 253-nucleotide ribosomal RNA is filed under the name uncultured bacterium. RNAcentral's name for it is "partial 16S ribosomal RNA". It matches the Rfam family "Bacterial small subunit ribosomal RNA", at positions 524 to 776 of the family's 1533-position model. The record is from RNAcentral.